This 752-nucleotide ribosomal RNA is filed under the name Bacteriovorax stolpii. RNAcentral describes it as "16S ribosomal RNA". It matches the Rfam family "Bacterial small subunit ribosomal RNA", at positions 239 to 1374 of the family's 1533-position model. The record is from RNAcentral. Lineage: Bacteria; Pseudomonadati; Bdellovibrionota; Bacteriovoracia; Bacteriovoracales; Bacteriovoracaceae.
GANUAGCUAGUUGGUGGGGUAAAGGCCUACCAAGGCGACGAUGUCUAUCNGGUCUGAGAGGAUGAUCGGACACACUNGAACUGAGACNCGGUCCAGGCUCUNACGGGAGGCAGCNGUGGGGAAUAUUGCGCNAUGGGGGAAACCCUGACGCAGCAACGCCGCGUGAGUGAGGAAGGACUUCGGUCUGUAAAGCUCUGUUNAUGUGGAAAAAUGGCAGUUGGUCUAAUAGGCCCAUUGUUUGAUGGUACACAUAGAGGAAGCACCGGCUAGAAUCUNGGAGGGGGAAGGNAUUACGCAUGUAGGGGUNAAAUCCGUAGAUAUGNGAUGGAANNCCAGAGGCGAAGGCGCNUUCCUGGACGAGGAUUGAGCUGAGGNNNNNAAGCGUGGGGAUCAAACAGGAUUAGAUACCCUGGUAGUCCACGCUGUAAACGAUGAACUCUAGUUAUUGGAGGAUUUNACCCCUUCAGUGUCGUACUAACGCGUUNAGUGUUCCGCCUGGGAAGNCGGUCAGUUGGGGACUCUNGAAAGACUCUGGGCNNANCAGGAGGAAGGUGGGGAUGACGUNAAGUCCUCAUGGCCCUUAUGUCUAGGGCUACNGNUGUAAUNCUAUGGUCGGUACCAAGGGAUGCGAACUUGCGAGGGGGAGCCAAUCUCAAAAAACCCAUCUCAGUCCGGAUUGGAGUCUGCNACUCGACUCCAUGAAGUUGGAAUCGCUAGUNAUCGCGGAUCAGAANGCCGCCGUGAAUACGUUC